UGUCAGCAGCCGCGGUAAUACGGAGGGUGCAAGCGUUAUCCGGAUUUAUUAGGUUUAAAGGGUCCGUAGGCGGGGAAUUAAGUCAGUGGUGAAAUACUGCAGCUCAACUGUAGCAUUGCCAUUGAUACUGAUUUUCUUGAGUUUGAUUGAGGUAGGCGGAAUGAGAAGUGUAGCGGUGAAAUGCGUAGAUAUUUCUCAGAACACCAAUUGCGAAGGCAGCUUACUAAGUCAAAACUGACGCUGAGGGACGAAAGCGUGGGUAGCGAACAGGAUUAGAUACCCUGGUAGUCCACGCUGUAAACGAUGAUUACUCGUUGUUGGCGAUAUACAGUCAGCGACUGAGCGAAAGCAUUAAGUAAUCCACCUGGGGAGUACGCCGGCAACGGUGAAACUCAAAGAAAUUGACGG
Molecule: ribosomal RNA, 408 nt
Filed under: uncultured Bacteroidota bacterium
Lineage: Bacteria; Pseudomonadati; Bacteroidota
Description: bacterial SSU rRNA
Rfam family: Bacterial small subunit ribosomal RNA
Source: RNAcentral